AUGCCAGCUCUAAGGACACUCUGUUCAUUGUCCCUCACUGCGCUGCGGAUAUUUAUGGUUGUCUUUCAGCAGCUAAACGUGCAGCCCAGGGAGGUGGUCCACAGAGAGAAGUCCUUCAUUUUUUUGAAAUACAGUAUUGACCAAAAAUCCUCCUUUUAUCGCAGGAACAGCAGCUUUGGAGGAAUGAACCUGAUGGAGAAGCGUGUGCUUGGAUUUGAGCUCCCUCACAGUUGCAGACUUUUGGCUUUGAGUCCCCUAAAUCUUUGCUGCUUUAAUCAGUGCACAGACUUGGGCAAAUAG
This 300-nucleotide long non-coding RNA is filed under the name Anas platyrhynchos platyrhynchos (common mallard). Its description in RNAcentral is "lncRNA (ENSAPLG00000030986.1)". Lineage: Eukaryota; Metazoa; Chordata; Aves; Anseriformes; Anatidae. The record is from RNAcentral.